UACGUAGGGUGCGAGCGUUAAUCGGAAUUACUGGGCGUAAAGGGCGCGUAGGCGGCCACCGCAAGUCGAUUGUGAAAUCUCCGGGCUUAACCCGGAAAGGUCAACCGAUACUGCGGGGCUAGAGUGCAGAAGGGGCAACUGGAAUUCUCGGUGUAGCGGUGAAAUGCGUAGAUAUCGAGAGGAACACCUGCGGCGAAGGCGGGUUGCUGGGCUGACACUGACGCUGAUGCGCGAAAGCUAGGGGAGCGAACGGG
Molecule: ribosomal RNA, 254 nt
Filed under: uncultured bacterium
Lineage: Bacteria
Description: partial 16S ribosomal RNA
Rfam family: Bacterial small subunit ribosomal RNA
Source: RNAcentral